UUAGAGUGUUGAUCCUGGCUCAGAACGAACGCUGGCGGCAUGCCUAACACAUGCAAGUCGAACGGGCAGGGGCAACCCUGUCAGUGGCGGACGGGUGAGUAACGCGUGGGGACCUGCCUCGAAGUUCGGAAUAACCGCGGGAAACUGCGGCUAAUACCGGAUGUGGCCUGAGGGCCAAAGGGGAAACUCGCUUCGAGAGGGGCCCGCGUCCGAUUAGCUAGUUGGCGGGGUAACGGCCCACCAAGGCGACGAUCGGUAGCUGGUCUGAGAGGAUGAUCAGCCACACUGGGACUGAGACACGGCCCAGACUCCUACGGGAGGCAGCAGUGGGGAAUAUUGGACAAUGGGGGCAACCCUGAUCCAGCAAUGCCGCGUGAGUGAUGAAGGCCUUCGGGUUGUAAAGCUCUUUUGGCGGGGACGAUGAUGACGGUACCCGCAGAAUAAGCCCCGGCUAACUUCGUGCCAGCAGCCGCGGUAAUACGAAGGGGGCUAGCGUUGUUCGGAAUUACUGGGCGUAAAGGGCGCGUAGGCGGUCCUGAUCGUCGGAUGUGAAAGGCCUGGGCUCAACCUGGGAACGGCAUCCGAUACGGCGGG
Molecule: ribosomal RNA, 594 nt
Filed under: uncultured bacterium
Lineage: Bacteria
Description: bacterial SSU rRNA
Rfam family: Bacterial small subunit ribosomal RNA
Source: RNAcentral